RNAcentral lists this ribosomal RNA (329 nucleotides) under uncultured eukaryote. RNAcentral's name for it is "partial 18S ribosomal RNA". It matches the Rfam family "Eukaryotic small subunit ribosomal RNA", at positions 1470 to 1796 of the family's 1831-position model. The record is from RNAcentral.
CCCUUAGAUGUUCUGGGCCGCACGCGCGCUACACUGACAGAGCCAACGAGUUCAUUUCCUUGUCCGAAAGGUCUGGGUAAUCUUGUUAAACUCUGUCGUGCUGGGGAUAGAGCAUUGCAAUUAUUGCUCUUCAACGAGGAAUGCCUAGUAAGCGCAUGUCAUCAGCAUGCGUUGAUUACGUCCCUGCCCUUUGUACACACCGCCCGUCGCUACUACCGAUUGAAUGGCUCGGUGAGGCCUUCGGACUGGCCCAGGGAGGUCGGCAACGACCACCCAGGGCCGGAAAGUUGGUCAAACCCGGUCAUUUAGAGGAAGUAAAAGUCGUAACA